UGCUUAGAUGCUAAAUACUUAACUUACUUGAGGACUUAAAUUUUUUUAUUUUUUUAUUAUUCUCUCUCCCUAACUUAAUCAAUAUUAUCCUCAAUGGAGUAGAAAAAUGAAGGGUGAAUAUAAAGAGAAAGAAAAAGAGAGAUGUCAUCUGAUCUAUAAAUCUUUUUAAAAUUGAUUCUUUCCUUAACUUAGCUAAUAUUAUCCUC
RNAcentral lists this long non-coding RNA (206 nucleotides) under Elaeis guineensis (African oil palm). RNAcentral's name for it is "long non-coding RNA (EGUI_LNC039503)". Lineage: Eukaryota; Viridiplantae; Streptophyta; Magnoliopsida; Arecales; Arecaceae. The record is from RNAcentral.